GUGGGGUGCUAUACUGCAGUAGAACGCUGAAGAGAGGAGCUUGCUCUUCUUGGAUGAGUUGCGAACGGGUGAGUAACGCGUAGGUAACCUGCCUUGUAGCGGGGGAUAACUAUUGGAAACGAUAGCUAAUACCGCAUAACAAUGGAUGACACAUGUCAUUUAUUUGAAAGGGGCAAUUGCUCCACUACAAGAUGGACCUGCGUUGUAUUAGCUAGUAGGUGAGGUAAUGGCUCACCUAGGCGACGAUACAUAGCCGACCUGAGAGGGUGAUCGGCCACACUGGGACUGAGACACGGCCCAGACUCCUACGGGAGGCAGCAGUAGGGAAUCUUCGGCAAUGGGGGCAACCCUGACCGAGCAACGCCGCGUGAGUGAAGAAGGUUUUCGGAUCGUAAAGCUCUGUUGUAAGUCAAGAACGGGUGUGAGAGUGGAAAGUUCACACUGUGACGGUAGCUUACCAGAAAGGGACGGCUAACUACGUGCCAGCAGCCGCGGUAAUACGUAGGUCCCGAGCGUUGUCCGGAUUUAUUGGGCGUAAAGCGAGCGCAGGCGGUUUGAUAAGUCUGAAGUUAAAGGCUGUGGCUCAACCAUAGUUCGCUUUGGAAACUGUCAAACUUGAGUGCAGAAGGGGAGAGUGGAAUUCCAUGUGUAGCGGUGAAAUGCGUAGAUAUAUGGAGGAACACCGGUGGCGAAAGCGGCUCUCUGGUCUGUAACUGACGCUGAGGCUCGAAAGCGUGGGGAGCGAACAGGAUUAGAUACCCUGGUAGUCCACGCCGUAAACGAUGAGUGCUAGGUGUUGGAUCCUUUCCGGGAUUCAGUGCCGCAGCUAACGCAUUAAGCACUCCGCCUGGGGAGUACGACCGCAAGGUUGAAACUCAAAGGAAUUGACGGGGGCCCGCACAAGCGGUGGAGCAUGUGGUUUAAUUCGAAGCAACGCGAAGAACCUUACCAGGUCUUGACAUCCCGAUGCUAUUUCUAGAGAUAGAAAGUUACUUCGGUACAUCGGUGACAGGUGGUGCAUGGUUGUCGUCAGCUCGUGUCGUGAGAUGUUGGGUUAAGUCCCGCAACGAGCGCAACCCCUAUUGUUAGUUGCCAUCAUUCAGUUGGGCACUCUAGCGAGACUGCCGGUAAUAAACCGGAGGAAGGUGGGGAUGACGUCAAAUCAUCAUGCCCCUUAUGACCUGGGCUACACACGUGCUACAAUGGUUGGUACAACGAGUUGCGAGUCGGUGACGGCGAGCUAAUCUCUUAAAGCCAAUCUCAGUUCGGAUUGUAGGCUGCAACUCGCCUACAUGAAGUCGGAAUCGCUAGUAAUCGCGGAUCAGCACGCCGCGGUGAAUACGUUCCCGGGCCUUGUACACACCGCCCGUCACACCACGAGAGUUUGUAACACCCGAAGUCGGUGAGGUAACCUUUGGAGCCAGCGCUUUU
Molecule: ribosomal RNA, 1431 nt
Filed under: Streptococcus thermophilus
Lineage: Bacteria; Bacillati; Bacillota; Bacilli; Lactobacillales; Streptococcaceae
Description: bacterial SSU rRNA
Rfam family: Bacterial small subunit ribosomal RNA
Source: RNAcentral